AUACGGAGGGUGCAAGCGUUAUCCGGAUUUAUUGGGUUUAAAGGGUGCGUAGGCGGUUAUUUAAGUCAGUGGUGAAAGUUUUCGGCUCAACCGGAAAAUUGCCAUUGAUACUGGGUAGCUAGAAUAUGGUUGCUGUGAGUAGAAUGCGUGGUGUAGCGGUGAAAUGCAUAGAUAUCACACAGAAUACCGAUUGCGAAGGCAUCUCACAAAGCCAUCAUUGACGCUGAGGCACGAAAGUGUGGGGAUCAAACAGGAUUAGAUACCCUGGUAGUCCACACUGUAAACGAUGAUAACUAGCUGUUGGCGAUACACAGUCAGUGGCCAAGCGAAAGCGAUAAGUUAUCCACCUGGGGAGUACGACCGCAAGGUUGAAACUCAAAGGAAUUGACGGGG
RNAcentral lists this ribosomal RNA (393 nucleotides) under uncultured bacterium. RNAcentral describes it as "partial 16S ribosomal RNA". It matches the Rfam family "Bacterial small subunit ribosomal RNA", at positions 523 to 918 of the family's 1533-position model. The record is from RNAcentral.